AUGCUGAGCACCACGGCGCACCACAGCAGCAGGCAGACGCAUGCUUUCGAGAAGAGCCCAAGCCGCGGCCGCCACGGCUCGGCCAGGAAGAACGGCAGCAUAGACAGGAGGCUGCAGCUGCAGGCGAUGAGCCACGCGAGCAAGUACCUGCAGCGGAUGCUUGUGUGCCCGCCGGGGCUGGGCGGCGGCGUCCGGCGGAGCGGCUCCGGCCUCUCCCUGUCGUCGCUGUCGCUGUCGCAGAACUCGAGCGACUCGUCGCUGAGCAGCUCCAACUCCAGCAGCUGGGAGCCCAAGGUGCCGCUCAUCUACGGCGGCACUUUCAGCCCGUGGGGUGACGUGCUCGUGUCCCUGGAGAGGAGGAAGGGGGACGACUGCGACGACGACGACAAGGUGAGCGGCCGUGAUGCGGAGGAGGAGGAGGAUUUUGAGUGUAGUGAGCCCGGGGGCUUGCACAGAUGCAGCUGGAUCACCAAGAACAGUGAUGAGGCAUAUGUCCAGUUCCACGACGAAUCCUGGGGCGUUCCGGUGUACAGCGACGACCGCCUGUUUGAGCUGCUCACCCUGUCGGGGAUGCUCAUAGACCACAAUUGGACAGAGAUACUCAAGAGGAGGGACAUGUACAUGGAAGCAUUUGCGGGCUUUGAUCCCAAUGUAGUGGCGAAGCUGAACGAGGAUGACAUCGCCGUGAUCAGCGCCAAUAAGGAGCUCAAGCUAGCAGAGUGCAGAGUGCGGUGCAUCGUGGAGAACGCUAAGUGCAUAAGAAAGGUGGCAAAGGAGUUUGGGUCUUUCAGUGGGUACAUCUGGGGGCACAUGAACCACCGGCCUAUGGUGGGUAAAUACAAGCACCACAAGUACAUCCCUCUCCGAACACCCAAAUCGGAGGGGAUGAGCAAGGACCUAAUCCGACGGGGUUUUCGGCUCGUUGGUCCUGUCAUUGUCUACUCCUUCAUGCAAGCCUCUGGCAUGGUCAUCGAUCACCUCGUCGGCUGCUUUCGGUUCUCUGAGUGCGUCCGCCUUGCCGAGCGGUCUUGGGGUAUCACAAAUGUCGCCACAUAG
Molecule: ribosomal RNA, 1056 nt
Filed under: Triticum aestivum (bread wheat)
Lineage: Eukaryota; Viridiplantae; Streptophyta; Magnoliopsida; Poales; Poaceae
Description: partial small subunit ribosomal RNA
Source: RNAcentral